RNAcentral lists this long non-coding RNA (1417 nucleotides) under Nicotiana tabacum (common tobacco). RNAcentral describes it as "long non-coding RNA (NTAB_LNC004382)". Lineage: Eukaryota; Viridiplantae; Streptophyta; Magnoliopsida; Solanales; Solanaceae. The record is from RNAcentral.
UGAACCGACGAAAUUCAGGUCAAUCAACGUCCGUCAAAAAAAUUCAACAAAAUCGCAUAGUAUACACACGAAAAAAUGGAUAUAAUUGCAAACUCAUAUUGCAUGACUAUGAAAUGCCAUAAAAUGAACUAGAUAGUCAUGGUGAAGCAAUGAGUAUUUGUCACUUGGUCAUUUCCUUUAGACCUACAAAAUUUCAGGCCAAUCAGAGUCUAUCAAAAAAAAUUCUACAAAAUUAGCAUGUACUAAUACACACAAAAUAUAUAUAUAUAUAUAUAAUUACAAAUUCAUAUUGCAUGACCUCAAAGCGCCAUAAAAUGAACCCGAAAGUAAUAGCGAAGCAAUGAGUUUUUGUCACUAGCUCAUUUUCUAUGGACCGACGAAAUUCAGGUCAAUCAACGUCCGUCAAAAAAAUUCAACAAAAUCGCAUAGUAUACACACGAAAAAAUGUAUAUAUUCAUAAAUUCGUAUUACAUGACCAUGAAACAACACAAAAUGAACCCGAAAGUCAUGGAAAAGCAAUGAGUAUUGGUCACAAUGUCAUUUCCUAUAAACCUGCAAAAAUUCAAGCCAAUCGGAGUCCGUCAAAAAAACUUCUACAAAAUCAGCAUGCACUAAUAUCCACAAAAAAGUGGAUAUAAUCAUCAGUUCGUAUUGCAUGACCAUGAAUCGCCAUAAAAUGAACCCGAAGUCAUGGUGACGCAAUGAAUAUAUGCCACUAGGUCGUUUCCUAUAAACCUAUGAAAAUAUAGGCUAAUCAAAGUCCAUCAAAAAACUUAUACAAAGUCAACAUGUACUAAUAUGCGCGAAAAAAGUGGAUAUAACCACAAAUUUGUUUUGCCUGACCUCGAAACGCAAUAAAAUGAACUCGAAAGUCAUGGCAAAGCAAUGAAUAUUGAUCUACAAAAAUACCAGGCCAAUUAGAAUCCGUCAAAAAAAAUAUAUAAAAUACGCAUAUACCAAUACACACAAAAAAGUGGAUAUAAUCACAAAUUCGUGUUACGUGACCACGAAACGCCAAAAAAUAAAUCUGAAAGUCAUGGCGAAGCAAUGAGUAUUGGUCGCUAAUCGUUUCCUAUGGACCUACGAAAUUUCAAGACAAUUAGUCCACCAAAAAAAAAGUUCUAGAAGAUCAACAUGUACUAAUACAUUCAAAAAUGUGAAUACAAUCAUUAAUGCAUGUUGCAUGACCCCGAAACAUCAAAAAAAGAACCAGGAACGCCAAAAAACUACGUUAGUCAUAACGAAGCAAUGAGUAUUGGUUAAUAGGUCGUUUCCUAUUGACCUACGAAAAUUCAAACCAAUCGGAGUCCGUCAAAAAAUUCUAUAAAAUCGAUACGAAAAAGUGGAUAUAAUCACAAAUUUGUAUUGCAUGACCUCGAAUGCCAUAAUCUGAACCCGGAAGUUAUGAUGAAGCAAC